GACGAACGCUGGCGGCGUGCUUAACACAUGCAAGUCGAACGGAAAGGCCCUGCUUUUGUGGGGUGCUCGAGUUGCGAACGGGUGAGUAACACGUGAGUUACCUGCCCUUGACUUUGGGAUAACUUCAGGAAACUGGGGCUAAUACCGGAUAGGAGCUCCUGCUGCAUGGUGGGGGUUGGAAAGUUUCGGCGGUUGGGGAUGGACUCGCGGCUUAUCAGCUUGUUGGUGGGGUAGUGGCUUACCAAGGCUUUGACGGGUAGCCGGCCUGAGCGGGUGACCGGCCAAAUUGGGACGGAGAUACGGCACAGCCUCCAACGGGAGGCAGGAGUGGGGAAGAUUGCACAAUGGGCGGAAGCCUGAUGUAGCAACGCCGCGUGCGGGAUGACGGCCUGCGGGUUGUAAACCGAUUUCGCCUGUGACGAAGCGUGAGUGACGGUAAUGGGUAAAGAAGCACCGGCUAACUACGUG
RNAcentral lists this ribosomal RNA (468 nucleotides) under uncultured bacterium. Its description in RNAcentral is "partial 16S ribosomal RNA". It matches the Rfam family "Bacterial small subunit ribosomal RNA", at positions 28 to 507 of the family's 1533-position model. The record is from RNAcentral.